RNAcentral lists this ribosomal RNA (492 nucleotides) under uncultured bacterium. RNAcentral's name for it is "partial 16S ribosomal RNA". It matches the Rfam family "Bacterial small subunit ribosomal RNA", at positions 29 to 507 of the family's 1533-position model. The record is from RNAcentral.
AGUGAACGCUGUCGGUAGGCCUAACACAUGCAAGUCGAACGGCAGCACAGUAAGAGCUUGCUCUUACGGGUGGCGAGUGGCGGACGGGUGAGGAAUACAUCGGAAUCUACUUUUUCGUGGGGGAUAACGGAGGGAAACUUACGCUAAUACCGCAUAUGACCUACGGGUGAAAGCAGUGGAUCUUCGGACCUUGCGCGAUUGAAUGAGCCGAUGUCGGAUUAGCUAGUUGGCGGGGUAAAGGCCCACCAAGGCGACGAUCCGUAGCUGGUCUGAGAGGAUGAUCAGCCACACUGGAACUGAGACACGGUCCAGACUCCUACGGGAGGCAGCAGUGGGGAAUAUUGGACAAUGGGCGCAAGCCUGAUCCAGCCAUACCGCGUGGGUGAAGAAGGCCUUCGGGUUGUAAAGCCCUUUUGUUGGGAAAGAAAAGCAGCAGGUUAAUACCCCGCUGUUCUGACGGUACCCAAAGAAUAAGCCCCGGCUAACUUCGUG